AGUGAGGAAUAUUGCGCAAUGGGGGAAACCCUGACGCAGCAAUGCCGCGUGGAGGAUGAAGGUCUUCGGAUUGUAAACUCCUGUCAGGCGGGAAGAAUCCCCGAAUCUCUAAUAUAGGUUCGGGUUGACGGUACCGCCAAAGGAAGCCCCGGCUAACUCUGUGCCAGCAGCCGCGGUAAGACAGAGGGGGCAAGCGUUGUUCGGAAUUACUGGGCGUAAAGGGCACGUAGGCGGCUCGACAAGUCGGAAGUGAAAGCCCACGUUUCAAGCGUGGAAGUGCUUCCGAAACUGUCGGGCUUGAGUUCGGGAGAGGAAAGCGGAAUUCCCAGUGUAGCGGUGAAAUGCGUAGAUAUUGGGAAGAACACCAGAGGCGAAGGCGGCUUUCUGGACCGAAACUGACGCUGAAGUGCGAAAGCCAGGGGAGCGAACGGGAUUAGAUACCCCGGUAGUCCUGGCAGUAAACGAUGAGUGCUAGGUGUGGGAGGUAUUGACCCCCCCCGCGCCGAAGCU
RNAcentral lists this ribosomal RNA (510 nucleotides) under uncultured bacterium. Its description in RNAcentral is "bacterial SSU rRNA". It matches the Rfam family "Bacterial small subunit ribosomal RNA", at positions 353 to 853 of the family's 1533-position model. The record is from RNAcentral.